UGAGGAUUAUUCGCUUGCUUG
Molecule: non-coding RNA, 21 nt
Filed under: Sclerotinia sclerotiorum
Lineage: Eukaryota; Fungi; Ascomycota; Leotiomycetes; Helotiales; Sclerotiniaceae
Source: RNAcentral